RNAcentral lists this transfer RNA (64 nucleotides) under Seladonia tumulorum. RNAcentral's name for it is "tRNA-Phe". The record is from RNAcentral. Lineage: Eukaryota; Metazoa; Arthropoda; Insecta; Hymenoptera; Halictidae.
AUUUAAAUAGCUUAAUAAAAAGUACAAUAUUGAAAAUAUUGAGAUAAUUAAAAAUUUUUAAGUA